UCCCUACGGGGGGCAGCAGUGGGGAAUAUUGCACAAUGGGGGGAACCCUGAUGCAGCGACGCCGCGUGGGCGAGGAAGUAUUUCGGUAUGUAAAGCCCUAUCGGCAGGGAAGAAGAAAUGACGGUACCUGAAUAAGAAGCACCGGCUAAAUACGUGCCAGCAGCCGCGGUAAUACGUAUGGUGCAAGCGUUAUCCGGAUUUACUGGGCGUAAAGGGAGCGCAGGCGGCGCGCCAAGUCUGAUGUGAAAACCCGGGGCUCAACCCCGGGCAUGCAUUUGAAACUUGCGGG
RNAcentral lists this ribosomal RNA (289 nucleotides) under uncultured bacterium. Its description in RNAcentral is "partial 16S ribosomal RNA". It matches the Rfam family "Bacterial small subunit ribosomal RNA", at positions 335 to 640 of the family's 1533-position model. The record is from RNAcentral.